CUGAUUAGUUAAUUGCAAAAGUAAACUGAGCGAACAAUGAAAUCACUAAAACAGCAAGGCAUCGACUAGGCAAACUAUCACUCUUCUAUUGUCGCUUGGUGACGGCCGAAAAGACGUGUUUGUAAUGCCUCUCAGGAGGAGAUAGGAGCUGAUUCUGUCCCGAGAAUCCUACAGUUUUGGCAUAUUUACCAGACAUGGGGAGAUGAGAGGCAUAAUUUGGACAUACACAUGUCUCCUGCCUGGUGCAUCGACAUCUUGGCUCCUGCCUGGCACAUCGACAUCCUCUGCUCCCACUCCCUCUGGACACCUGUCUGGUAUCAGCAUCCUCUGCUUCCUCAUGGCCUGGUGGUCACCCCCUUCUCCUCGCCGGGACUCUGGUGCAGUGGUUUAGAUGGUACCAUGUGUUGCUUCCUUUCACCUGGAUGGCUGUUGUGUUGCUUGGGCCACCUCGAGGCUGUAA
Molecule: long non-coding RNA, 460 nt
Organism: Salmo salar (Atlantic salmon)
Lineage: Eukaryota; Metazoa; Chordata; Actinopteri; Salmoniformes; Salmonidae
Source: RefSeq, a predicted model, not a curated record